Branchiostoma belcheri (Belcher's lancelet) is the source of this 1522-nucleotide long non-coding RNA. RefSeq lists it as uncharacterized. The transcript has 3 exons. Lineage: Eukaryota; Metazoa; Chordata; Leptocardii; Amphioxiformes; Branchiostomatidae. The record is from RefSeq and is a predicted model, not a curated record.
GCGUACUGUGUUGGCGGUCAGGAUAAACCGUCAGAGUCGAGAGAGAGGAGAUUGUACAGAAAACAGGCGUUUAAGUCGCUAAUUCUGCGUGAUAAUGGCACCAACGGAGUCUACCAUGAUCGAAAAUCAAUUUUGGAGAGUCUGGGGAAUCGAGGGGAGAUGUGAUGUCGGUUCAAACGCUCGCAAAUUUCGAAUAGUGACGUUAGCAACUUUCGUCGCCCCCCUCCCCCUUGUCCGGCUGGCAUCGCAGCAAAACAACAAAGCAGCAUGAACAGCCUUUGCCUCCGGAUGUACUGUACGGUAGAUGCAGCAGAGGUUGUAAGGAGGACAGUCUAGAUGAAAGGCACGCAACUGCGUCUGAGUCUUCGAGUACCUGACUGCUGCUACAGGCUCCUUAGGAACUGACUCCGAAGAAGUACUCCAAACCAACACCAAGACAUCCAACAUGCAAACACAGAACAGAGAGCCUUACCCUGGGUGCAUGGCAGCAGUGGAGUCAGAAGUGGAUAGGAUUGUUUAUACAUGAGCAGUUCUACAACAUAUUUCCCAAAAGUUAACAUUGUGGUGUGCCAUGUGCCGCAGGUGGUCAGUAUUGAUAGAGACCAUAGGUUACUGUAUUUUGCCUUAUUUUGACAAACAUUUAGAUUUGUUUUUGUGUCUGAUGGUUGUCAGAUGAUUAGACACAAGCUAUUAAGGUCUUAUUACUAUAUUAGCCAUACCAGAAUGUGUACUGUAAAAUGUAUUCCAGUUCCAAUCUCCAGUGAUUUAAUAUGAUGACAAUGAUACAUUUUACAUUGUGUCGUAAAAAGUCACUGAUAUUGUGGAAAAAGAGCAAAACAAUGCAAGCUCCACUGAAUGUCAACCCAUAUAUCACAAGCCAGUUUUGUAAUUUCCUUGUUAUGUCAGUGUUUCUUUGAAUAGUUUUCAAGCUUUUUAUCAUGCGGGAUAUAAUGACAUGUUAAGGGUGACAAGUUGGUAUGGAUUUUCCAUAGAAAAUGUGACAACGUUUCCUGGUACAUGUUAAACCAAGUGUAUAGUUUCUCAAAGGCUGUGUGUCAGUAGAGAAUGAUAAUAUUUUAUUUAGAUUUGUGUCUGCUGAUAGUCUGUGUGUUCAUGAGAAAUGCUGCUUGUAUUUAUUAUUAUUAUUCUGUUGUAUGUGUAUGUAUAUGCCUAUGUGUUUUGUUAGUACAACACAGAUGGUCACUGAUCAUUUGAACAUUAUAAGAAAAAAGUGUAUAACUUGUACGUAAAACUUUUACUUACUUGUAUGUAAUGCUUAUUUGCAUACCUUUUAGAAAAGGUAACAGCCAAUUUAUGUUUAAUUUCUAUGCUUUUUAAAUAAAUAUUUCUGAGUUCUGCCCAGAACCCAUUUCCUGUGCUUGUAUAUAAUUCAGGGGAGUGAUACAACGUUAUUAAGGAAAUAUGGGUAAAGGGGGGUAAAUAUGGCAAGUCGUUCUGGUAAGGGCAUGUACGCGUAAAUACGGGUAAAUUCAACUAAAUGUCAGAAAUACCAUGCUCGGUA